This is a non-coding RNA of Coturnix japonica (Japanese quail), 7195 nucleotides long. NCBI's taxonomy places the organism in Eukaryota, Metazoa, Chordata, Aves, Galliformes, Phasianidae. The record is from RefSeq and is a predicted model, not a curated record.
AAAAUGCUUUAACAUUUUUUGCCCUGCUUGUGUCAAAGCUACUUUAGCAGUUCUGUUUCCCACCAGGCCUGCCUGGUAGCAGGGCAGCCCAUACAAGAUGAGAUAGAUGGUCUCCAGAGCUUCUUGCAUAAGAGGCUCUCACACAAGGAUUCCAGGGACUCUGACCCAUGGUCUUAACUGCACCUUGACAACCACAAGGUACGCAUAGUAAGAUAAACUGGCCAUCCCUACUGUAGUAGAAAUGCUAUGUCGUGACCUGAACCAGUGAUUGAGCACCUGGGGGGAAGGCAGGGUCAACCCAGGGGAGCCCAAGUGAAUGCAAUGCAGAUGAAUGACUGGGAGGAUCCUGGCUCCACCCCUUCCCAGACCUCAUAUAAUGGUUGGCAGUGGAGGUGGGGGCAUCUGAUUGGGGAUCAUUUCUACCUGAAGUCUUUUGAAGCCAUGGCAUAGUUAUCCCAUGGACAUAGCAGGGAACUGCUGCCAUGUACCUUCCCUGGGACCAAGGCCAUCAACCUGCUGCGUGCUCCAACAUUGAGACAUCCACUGUGCUUCUUCCUGCCGGUUUCCAGCUGAUAGGCACCAUAUGCAUGACUCCAGCAAGCUUGCAGCCUACUGACCCGGUCAGUUAACAGCUACAGUUACAUCAGCCACAUACAAUUAGAGUUUAAGAGCAGGUGCUAUUUUUUCAGCCCCAGGGUGGACAGCUGAGUCUCACCUGACUGCUCACUGAGUGGAAGCUGUUUGUGGGACCACACUGCUAUGACACAUCUGGUUUGGGCCAUGAAAACCAACUUAAGCUGUGACUGAUGACCAUUGCAGCCCCUUUCAACUGCUUUUGAAUUUUGCUACUGUAGGAAUAAGGAGCUGAGAAGCCAAUGGUGACCUUAAUGGACAUCUGGAUUUUUGCAAGGCAUCUCAGCGCAUCUCUCCUUGCUGUGUCAGAAGUCUGCUGCUUACGCUGCUCUUAUCUUGAUUUACCAUAGCCCAGAUGCUUCCUUGUAUUCAUGCAACUGUGCAUAGAAACUGCAGAGCAACGUUUUUCAUCCCACCAGAGCUGCUGACAGCUCAACUGACUCCUGAUUUGAACUGGAACUUCCAUGUUUGGCCCAAAGCAAUACAGUGCUGCCACUCAUAGCUCAGUUGUCAGCACUGUCCUGCCUUUUGCUCUGCACGUUAAUUCCCGCUUAAGCCUUGUGGCACUUGUUUGUUUUCCCUCUAUUCUUUGCUUCUGAAUGCAUUUGCUUGUGUGGUAGGGUCAGUGUGUGGAUGUCACACAGUGACCUAUCCUGGCACAGGAGAAGGGACAGUGCCCUGUAGUCUGCCCCAGCCUUUCUGCUCCAAUUUGUUUUCCCAGCCAUAUCCCACUAGAGGAACAGCUGAUCUGAUAGCAUCCAGGUUGCUCUUCUAUCUUAGGCUUCUGUUGUGCAAAGGGUCAAACAAUUUGGGCUGAGAAAUUGUUAUUUACUGCUCAGCCGGGAUGGCAUCUUGGAGCUACCAAGCCAUCAAAUGGAGGCUCUUUCAUAAAGCCCACCUUUGGGUUCUCAUCAAGAAGCUUCAGAUUUGGGUUCUCAGGGCAAUGUAUUUGACCAAUUUGUGCUUUUUCUUCAGCAAAUCCAUACUCAUUUCACUCUCCUUUUCAAGCUUUUAAUCACAGCAUUUCAGGAAAGAUUCCUUGUGAAUACAUACAAGCACGUGUUGGCUCUGUGACUUGUUCUCAGUUGAAGUUAAUUCUGAAAAUAAUGGAGGAGCUUUAUCUGUUAAUUAAAACUAAUGACUUUAUAGAAUUGCGGAUGUGUUAAACUUGGGAAGAUUUGCAUUGGAGACCAAUAGGAGCAGAUAAUUUGCAAGUCUGAAUAAGAAAGGAAAUAGCAUUGAAAUUGAAAUGGAUAUACUCAGCUAGAUGGAAGCUGCUCCAGCUUCUAGAAGUUGCAAAGUGAAUUGAGUGUGGCCAUUAGUUCUUAGAGUACCAUGUUUACCACCGCAUUUCAGAGGGUGUGUCUGGGAAUGUUUUUAUUAUACCUUGCAAAAUGGGGAAAGGGCAUUUUCCCCUUCAAGGUAAAAUCAGAUGCAGGCUGUUGCAAUGCUUACCAUGUUUUCUUCCAAACUGCUUCCAGAUUGAGCCUACUCAUUUUGCAAACAUAAGGUGUCCAGCUGGAUGCUUCAUGCUUAUCACUCCCCUGCCAGCAAUAGAAGCUCUGUUACCUUUAAUGUCACACCCAGCUGUGGAGAACUACAUUGAGCCCCCCCCAGCACAGAAAUUGUUGGUCCUCUGAGGAGCAGUUGGGAAUGACAGCACUCAUUCUCACUGGGACUUUGAUGGAGUGAGAUGCCAGUUCCAAGAAUGCAUUCAGGGAGCUGCACACAGUCCCUGAACUACCUGCAAGACCCUUUGCAGAUGGGUGAAGUGCAGCAACCAGAGCAGCAGCCAAACAUUCUGCUGUGAAAGGCAGUGGGUUCACCAUUGCUGGGGAUUUGGAAGGGUGGCAGAGCUGUACCAGGCAGAGCUCUCACUGUUGGUGGGGUGAUAUGACAUUCAAAGGCCAACCCAUGUCCAAGGAGAAUCAAGAAACCCACCACCAACUCCUGAGUCUCUUACGUACCCUGUCUGCCAGUGGCUCAGGGAGAGAAUGGGAUGAUACAGCUGCUGCAAUUGGAGACCACUUCCAAGGGACCAUUCAAAACUAUCUUGAGCAAAGUGAGGAGAAAACAAACACAGCAGUCUCUGACAGCAAGAAAGCGUUGCAAAAUGUCAAUUAUCUGCUCACUACAGCUGCUGUGGAUGUCCUCCAGCAAUCCACAGCAGAGAAAAUAACGGCAGCAAUACAGAGAGCAAAAAGCUCCUGGAAAGGGUACCUUUCUGCAUAAAAAUCAGAUGACUGAAGUGUGGAUUCUGGACCAAAUUCUUGACGGCAGCUGAAGACGAUGUGCAUGGGGAGGUAUGAAAUGAGCACUGUAUUUGCUGAAACGACUAGGGAGGAAGGAUGCUGUGGUGUCUGUUAAUUCAGCAGCUGAACUUCUGCCUGGCUCUCAGAGCCAUCUGGGGCUUUCACUCAUGGGUUUAUCUUCUUUCACUUCUCCAAACCCGCUGUAACUCCUGAUUUCUUGACACCAUGUGCAGUUUCUCUUCCAGUUUAUUGCCCUGGGUGACAUCGCUUGUUAUUUUGUCACUCCUUGCCAUCCUUUUAUCACACUGUCUUAUUAAGAGAGAAGCGUUUGCAUGGAUUAGUCAGGGAAGCAUCCUCAGUUGAGCUAACACACACAAGAGGUGGUAAAUAUUGACUCUUAUUGCUGUAAACUUGUCAUGCCACCAGCUGCAUGGGAGAGGAGUGAUCGCUGCAUUGCUGAGGCUGAUGACAUCUUGGCUGACCUGGAGUUCAGGUUUAUGUAUUGAAGGGUGCACAGUAGUCACAGCUCCUGUCUUCUGCCUCCAGCUGGGCAGUGCCCUCCCUCAGUCCUGCCCCAAACACUCAGCCAGGUGUCCCAAACUGUAGGCUCAGGGCUGGGCAGCAGCUGCUGGAUGCCGACAAGGAGCUGGCUGGCACCACACUUUGGCUCUGCUUCUUAUUUCCAGCUUGCUUCUUCAAUUAGAAGUAGCUAAAUAUACACAAGUGCUUUCCCAGUACAAUUUUCCAUGUAUGCAAGAGAAGAGGGGAUGCUAUGCAGGCAUGAAGGAGAGGUGUAUUUCUUGUCCUCUACUGAGGAGCGAGGGGAGAAAGGUCUGGAUGAAAUGAAUUUCCUUCCAGACACAGCCACUGCUACAAGGAGCUCUUUGAGGAUCAGUCAGCCUUUUUUCUGCGUGGUUGGAACAGAAGUGGCAGGUAUCCAGACAAACAAAUAGUGGAGUGCGGGAGAUCCCAGCAUAGUAUGGCCCAGAAGCCCAUUUCUCCAUCCUGUCUGCUUCACAACACACAGUCAAACUCACUUCAGUAAUGCUCCUAAGAAGGCCAGAGUUGUCUCCUAAAAAGCAGAAGGGUUGUCCAGGUAACUGCUUCACAUCAAAGGCUUCUGUGAAGCUCAUCCUGAAGACUGACCUACCUGUAGUGUCCUUCCAGGAUUCACUGCAGCUCAUCUAUGCCAGCUUUUCAUCAGCCCUGCUGUGAAACCUACAUUCUCCCCUUAUGGUCCCAGGACAAACUCAGACAUGUUUUGAUGAUUGAGGUGUGUGUUGACUGUGUGUGAUUUGGUUUAUCAUCCAACCUGUCAGCAGAAGCGUUCACUUGAGAGCAGAUGUUUCAAGUACUUUCUCCUUCUGAGAGCUAAAAAGGAAAUAAAAAGCCUUAGGCACUGGGUAGAAAUAGAAGGUACAAAACCUCCUUCCUAGGCAACUUCACAGGAAACAGCAGAAGAAAAUAGAAAAGCACAAGUCAUGUUGUUCAAGCACGGAAGUUGUGCAGGAAAGCUGCUGGCCUCACUGGUUGUAUUGAGAAAACUCUGCAGAUGGAAAUACUCUGGUGCCUGCAUGUCUCAGCUUCUCAAUGUGCAGGCACGUGGCAGGGAGACCUUCCUCUGUCUUCAGCUCCACAGACCAGCUGCUGGUUGUGCACCACUGUAAACCAGUGAAACUGGGAUGGUGCGAUGAGUUGGAGGUUUGUUAGUGUUCCAACCUGGAGGAAAGGAGAUGGCCCCUUCCAGAAUGGUUAGGAGAUGGAAAGAUAUCAAAUGCUCCCCCCAGAAUAGCAGCUAUUCCAUAGCACGGGGCUUGGAGGCACAGUUUGGAUAAAUGCAGAAGGGAAUGGCAGCAUACAGUGAAUUGCCUGAUGCCAAGUGGAAUUUUUCCAGCCAUGUUCGAGGAACUUGGGUCCAAGUCCUGCUUUGAAGGCCUCAGGUCAGAGGCUAUAUAUAAACCAUGCUGAAUUUGCUGGCAGCUAGGAUGGGUUUGACAGUGCCCAACACCUCCCUGUCCCAUCAUCCUCUCUCAGAUAAGUUUCUUUAAAGGCCUGAGAGUGCUUUCUGGUACAAAGGUGAGGAUAAGAUGCUUCUUCUGUCUGCAAGUAAGGAACAUGUAGUUUGGGACAGGUGAAAUGUACUCCCAUCUUGCAGUGGAUGCCACAUUUGCUGACACCAAGAAAGUUCAUGGGCUCUGGGGGUGCCUCUGGGCAGCUGUCCCAGACACCUUUAUCCUAUUCCUCAGACAGCCUAAAAUGUUUCUAUCUUAGUUCCCUUCCCAAGCACCAGGCCAGCCCAGGAGGAAAGAACAGCCCUGGUUGCAUGCCUCUAUCUCUCCUGAAAGAGAGCCAUCCCAUCGACACCAUGAUCAUCAGCCACCAGCAGAGCAGCCCCAUGCAAGUGCUCCUGAAUAUCACAACCCAGCCCCAGACCUACAUGAAAACUUUAUUUCCUGGCCUGACUUCAAGCUAUAAGAUGCACAGGCAGCCACGUCGGGAUGUAAAAGGCUGGCUGGAUUACUCAGACUUUGAGCACCAUCUCCUGUCCUGUUGGCUCAGCUCCAUCAGCGUACCAGCACACAUUGCCUGCAGUCAACAAGCAGCAGAGAUACAAGGGCUGGGGCUGCUGACCCUGGUCUACAACCCUCCACAUCCUUAUGGGGCAGUACCAUCAUUUCUAAGCCAUGAUAAAGAGCCCUCAGGAUUUUCUUAGCACCAGAUCCUCUUCACACAGGGGUCAGAACAGAGGGUGGAAGCAGAGGGAAGCUGCCUAGGUUCAUUCUGGAGUUCGCAUCAUCCUGACAGCCAGUUCUUCUCCCAGCUCUGAAGUUUUGUCUCAUCAGUAACGGAGGCCAGUGCUGCUUUCUAUGAGGAGCUUGUAAUUACUCGGCCUCUCGGGAGCUGCAGCGUUUAUCGCAUUAGUAACAGCUUCAGCACUGAGGCAUUUUCCCGGAGCUAAAUGCCGUUCAGCUGUAACACAACGCUCAGCUUUGGCGGGGGUCAGAUUUGACGUCAAUGACACAUACUGGCUCCAGUUCUGGGUGACAUUGAUGCCCGGGCACCCUCCUGCCCUCACCUUCUGUGCACGACAUGGUCCCAGGAAAGAGUUGGAGCUGCACUCAGACCCAUGUGCAGCUGCCACCUCCCUGCCCCAUGCUCCAUCUCCCCAGAGACAUCCAAUCAUCGUCAGCUGGUGACUGUGCCCAAGUUCACAUCCCCUCUCUGCUCCACACCCAUGCCACUGGAACCACAGAGCUGCUGAUCCCCAGCAAAAAGGAAGAGAACACAGCCAGGCUUGUGCCAUGGGGGACAGCCUGGGCCUGCGUCAGCCUUUGUGCAGCGUGUUCCUCGUGUAAACACAUUUCUGUCUGUGUGGAUGCAGGCUCAGUAACACCACCAGUUGCUCCAGCUAAUGUGACGCCAUCCACUGAGGCCUGCAGACCUGAUUCCUCCCUGGGGUUGGACUGGGAGCAGCUGCAGUGUCAGCACUUGGAGCUGAAGGCUGCUUGAGAGCCUUAUCCUCAGAAACCUGCAUCCCACCCGCAUCCCCCACAGGAGGAAUGUGGGUUAAUUUCCUGACCCAAUGUAGCUCCUUCUGAGCUAAGGCAUUCCCCAUGUUUUCAGCCUCAUUCAGGUACCAGCCAGGCUUUCUGUAUGGAUUCCUCGUAACUUCAUCCUCUAAAAGGUUCGAUAUUGUAUAUGGCCUCAAAAUAGCUCUGUAAGAGCAUCACCAGUCCAGGCUGUGCUUUCUUCCCUGCCCAAGAUGGGUGUUUCUGAUGGAUGAGGGCAGGACUGCUGCUUCCCACUGGCCUCACCAACACAUUCCUUGCAACUAAACUUCGGCUUGGCCACCCAGAAAGUUUCUCACUAUGGACACUGCUUCACAGGGAUACUGGGCUGGAUGUGGCUCAAAGGGUCUGUAUAUCUUACCAUGGAUUGUCACAGGCUGUCAGCCUAUUUUUCAAACGCAGCCUUGAUAAAGGUCUCCAUUUCCAGCAGCCUGACUCAGCUGCUGACCCUUUAGGAGGAGGAAUCAAAGCCUUCAGCAGCAUCUCCCACAGCCAUCUCUAAAGGCAAGGACAGAGCAAAGAUGGGAGACUUUAUCUCAGCUGGCUUGUGGACUUGAUGGAACACUCUCUUGCCAUGCCAAAGGAGUCCUUGCCUUGUAGCAUUUCCUUUAGUAGUACUGAACACUUCAGUGCUUCCAGUACAUCUCUGAUCCUCUCACUCCCUCAAAUGGAAAGGAGAAAACACAACCCACAGUGCCUUUAUGAAACAAAAUAUCACAAUAUAUAAAGAUGAUGAAGUUA